UACAGAGGGUGCGAGCGUUAAUCGGAUUUACUGGGCGUAAAGGGCGCGUAGGCGGUAAUGUGAGUGUGAUGUGAAAGCCCCGGGCUUAACCUGGGAAGUGCAUCGCAAACGACAUUGCUGGAGUAUAAGAGAGGGUGGCGGAAUUUCCGGUGUAGCGGUGAAAUGCGUAGAGAUCGGAAGGAACGUCAAUGGCGAAGGCAGCCACCUGGCUUAAUACUGACGCUGAGGCGCGAAAGCGUGGGGAUCAAACAGG
RNAcentral lists this ribosomal RNA (253 nucleotides) under uncultured bacterium. RNAcentral's name for it is "partial 16S ribosomal RNA". It matches the Rfam family "Bacterial small subunit ribosomal RNA", at positions 524 to 776 of the family's 1533-position model. The record is from RNAcentral.